CCACGGCCACGCAUCUGUCUGUCGUCAACAUGCCGCAGCAACGCAGCACGCGAUCGUUGCCGACGCUGCGGCAAGUGGCCGCCAGCACCUACUCUGUUGGGACAAAGCGGACCUCGAAUCACUACAGGAAGAAUGCCUUCUCGCUGGAUGGAUGCCUCCGACCUCUUCCCACACGCGUUGCUGCACCGCUCGAGAACGCCUCGAGUUUGGCCGCCGGAGAGGACGCUCUUUCGAACCGAGGAGAGACACCAUCGCCCGCGGAAGCGCUUUUGACGACAGCUUGCGCCCCUUCCUGCGGGAAAUCAGCGUCGUCGACGAUCUCCCUCUCGCCUAGUGGGGAGUCAUGGCACAGUGAGCUGCUGCGAUGCGAGACGGAACUGCGCGAGCUUGUGGCAUGCGGGGUGCAUGAUCCACCCUCGCUCAACCGCACGCUGAGGACGGUGGACCUGUUCGAUCGAGUCAGUUGCAUUAUGCAGGCGCAGCCGAACACCUCCUUUAUUGGCGACUUGCUGCGACUCUUUCGCGUCGAGCUCUGCCGCUCCAUAUUUGUGGCCCACAGCGACGAUGGCGCCGUAGAUUAUAGCGACGAGACGGCCAUCUCUGCCACCGGGGUGCGCCGCAAUGGAGAGGAGAGCAUGGACAACGACAGGCCCAACAAGUCGAAGGGCGGCUCUGCCUUGUGUGCGGACGGCAACCUGACACGGGCCUACUUUGAAGAAGCGGAAUCCCUGCGGCGCGCAAAGGCGUUUUUGACGACUGCCGUGGCGAAGAGUACCUCCGGCGAGUCCCUUCUGCUCCUGCAGCGCAGCAUAGAGGACAAAGAUGAGCAAAUCGUCUGGUAUGAGGCCGAGCUCGAGCGAGUCCGGCGACAGUUUGACCAGGUGAGCGACGAGUGCCGACAGGUUCGCCACAAGCUGGAGUCGGACGCGCAGGAGGCCGCCUCAAUGCAACGGCAGCUACAGCGCGAAAUUCAGACCCUCCACGUCGAGAACAAGGAUGUGCAGCUGCAGCUCUUCCGACUGCGCAAGCAGAUGGCGGGUGGCAAUUCAAACCAACUCAAGGAGGGGUAUCGACAGCUGAAGCUGAGCAAAAUCGCGCAGACGCAGAGCUUGUUUGACGAGGGUGAUGAGCGGGUGGUGCUGCUGGUGCUGCUCGGGCAGGUAGAGAGUCGAGUGAACGAGAUCUUGGACGCGUACGACAACGAAUAUGUACUCACACCAGAAGCGUUGCGGCGGGACCUGCGGAACAGGAUGGCCGAGAGUGUUGUGGUCCUCCUGGAGGACAUGCACUUUUGCGACACAGCAUACCGGCGCCUGGUCGCAGCGCACCGCACUGGCGGCAACAAAAAGAGCUCGGUGACGGGUGGCGACAACGUGGAUCAAGCAGACGCGCACCGAAUCCCUCUGGAGCUUGUCCACACUGGCGAUGGCGAGGAGGCUCCGGAUGAGACGGAUGGGUUCGUGGCCAUUUUGUUUGACCAACGUGUCUACGAGCACUUUCAGGCACGACACGCGUUGCAGGCGCGUCUGCAGCAGUACCAGGCGAUGAGCAACGCUAGUUCGGCGCAGGCGAAGGAAGCGCAGACAGCGCCCGGUAGCGCGACGAACCCCGUGCACCCGGAUCCAUCGGCGUUGCAUCAGGAAACGCAGACCGCGGCAACACCGGAGAUAAUGCACGACAAGCACGGCGCCUGCUUGCGUGGACGGGCGCAUUCGAGGGACGAGCAAGGCGGCGCGUCGCCACGGCCGGCGACGGAACACCAAGACACCUUGGUGGGCGGUGACAAGGCUGGAGCGCUAAAGUCGCAUCCGCCUCUGCCCGCAACGGACCUUCCACCGCUGCCUGCGACUUCUGACGGUUCCCCGUUGUCCUCGUCACGGCCGCCCACGCUGCCGAAGCAGAGCAGCAGGGCUGCCCUGACGGCACUGCCAGACAUGCCUGCUGCCCACCGGGGGCCGUUACUGAAGAGGACUAGUCGGGCUCAGCGUGCACAAUGGGUCGCCAACAUUCUCGGACCCUCCGCCACCUCCGUCGUCUUCACCAUCCCGCGGCCCAACUCGGAGCAGGCAGAUGUGGUCGUGGUGCAGCGGAGGAUACCCGAGGUGGUGCCGGCCGAGGCGGCCAUGCAGCGUGUUUUGCGGCACCCGAUGGAGGAGCUCAGCAGCGAGCGAUUCCUUUCUACCGUUGAGGUGUUCACCGGCGAGGACCCGGUGCAGCAGAAGCUGCUGUGCCGUAUGAACUACGUCGAUCCCUCGCUGGCCAUUCAAGUACCCGACACAACCAACUUUGUGAAGGUCAAGUAUGCCCACGCUGAGAACGCGCGCGCGGUAUCCGCGGCUGGGCCGGCUGCGAGGGGCUCAAUGGCGUCUCAGUCGGCUUCCGAGUCUAAUGGUGGAGCUGGGGGCGGUUCUGGCGUUUACGGUGGAAACCCUAGCCUUCGCCUUUUCAAGGAGCUCGGCAGCAAGAGCCUUGUCGAGAACAACCCAGGGCUGCAGUACCGCGCCGGCGCAGUAAGCUCGACGACGGCCUCGACCGUUGCUUUCCAGCGGCUGAACCCGCUCUCGCCCGACCGUGCGCCGGAGUGGCUGCUGUACAAGCAGUUGUUCGGGGCCUACCGCUCCCUCACGCCGCGUAUGAUUGAAGUGACCACCAUCGAUCAUCUCAUGGCGUGCGCCUCGGAGCGCUUUUUCAUCCGCAUGGAGUAUCGCUACGACGAGUGCCUCGCGCGAGCGGCGCAGCAGUGUGCGAACUUGCAGCUGCGCCGGGACAUGGCGGGGCGAUUCUUCAAGGACAUGUACGUGCUCAGUGACUUUCAGGAGGCGCUAGUCGACGAGCUUGAGGCACGGUACGGCUAUCCGGAGCUGGUGGCGAAAACGCUGUACGAAAUUCUGUGCUACCUGGAUGCUGUGGUCGAGAAGGACAGCGUCCUGGCUGCCUACCUCGACGUGAUUCGCGGCUUUGUGUCCCCGACGCAGGUGCACUUCGUUUCGUAUAUGUUGUACCAUCUGAGCUACUGCUGGCCCUCCGCCGACCCUACCGUUGCAGUUUCCGCUGACGAGGUGCGCACGGUCUUCGACUACCUUUACCGCAACGCCUCUCCGCUGCUUCUGAUUGACCCAGAGAACAUCUUUAAGGACUACAAUAUGGCCUCUCGCUCUGCUCCUCUGACUUUCGUCAGCAUGCGGCAGUUUCUCGCCUCAGCGAUGGUUCACAUGGAGGAACCGCUUCUGCUGCUCCUACAUGGCCGUUUCCAUGCGUACACGCAGCGAAAGGCAACGGAUGAGAUCACCUGGGAGACGUACGAGGCCGUUAUCGCAAAGUGCGGCCGCAUGAAGGAGGAGAGGCGGAGUCUUGUGCGCUUCCUCGCCAGCGGUCUCGGCGUCAAUCGACGUGCAUUUGCCUCUCUGCAGCAGCUCACCUUUCUGGCGGCCAGCGCGUGGAGUUCCAAUUUCUGGGCCUGAAGCGCGCGGUCGAUGCCAUCCGUCAGAAUCCAGACUGUGUAGAUUUCUCGGUGUUCAUGCCUCAACCAUGCACCACAGAGCCUUUUCCGUUACUUUCGCCAUCUUCACCGUGGGCACCUGUCUGUGCUUCGCAUUCCUGCAGCGGCGGGUCGCCGGCAGUGGCGGCAUGGGACGCAUUUGGCGUGCUCUCAACUGCUGCGCUAGCGUUGCAGCACCCCGCCCACUCGCCAGACCCGGCACCUCCGUCUGUGUCGGCUAUGAGAACGCUUGAUCCGGCGCGGUGCCUCGUACGCUAUGUGAGAUUCACUGACUUUUCGAAGCAGACGACGUUGCGGGCCGUCAUCUUGCACAACGCUGCGACACGCCUCACACACACGCUGCACCGGGGCUCCGCCGUCUGGUGUCCAUCGCUGCCCCGCCCCAACCCUUCUCUGCAUUCUCAGCGCGACAGGCUGGGGGCUCUGCGCGGGGCCGGCGCACAGGCGUGGCCCCCGGCCCGGCCCCCUCCGCCAGCCUCCUCUGCCCGGCCACAGCCCCGCGACUGUGAAGGGCGUGCGGGUGGAGAGGAGGUUGGAGCGUCUCCUGCCGCCGCCGGCGCAGGGCAGUAUCCGGACUGUAGCGGCAGCAUGCGGGCAAGCCAUCCAGGCACGCCUCCCCUCCUCCUCCACCUCCCCCCAGGCAAGAACGCCGUCUUGACGCAGGCCGCGGGAUGCCGCAAAUGCGAGCACGGCGCGCAGGCGCCGUGGGGCACAGCCGGCACGGUGUACCACGCCCAGGCACAGCAUCCGGCGGUCAGCGGAGCGCGAGUGAGGGGCGCGAAGCGGCCCAUGCCGAUCACCCCCCUCCCCCGACGAGCAUGCCUGCGAAGCAUGCGGCACAGCCCGUCUGCAUCCCGACGGGGCGGGCUGAUGAGGCGCAGACGCCGGGAGCAUGGCGAGAGCACCGCCGAGCCCUGCAGACUCCCACGCGACGAGUCGCCGCGCCAGAUCACGGAAUAGCGCGACUUGCAGCGGCUCUGGGCGCAGGAGCACGGCACGCAGGCCGGGCCUCAGAGGGCCCUAACCCCGAGGCUGGCCCGCCUCCUCCUCGAGCUCGUGCGGCGUGCGCGGUGGCCGCCCCCUGUUACGCGGGCGACAGAGACGCCGUCGCCACUGCCCUGGAGCGCAGGACGCUGCAGGCGACCCUGCUUGGAUCGAGGCAUGCGCCCCAGCGGAGGCCCGUCUGGCGGCCGAGGCGCGCGGCUCGAUUUCGCGGCAGAGGGCGGUGCGCCCUAGACGACCAGAGUGUAGCCGUGGUGCCGCAGAGGUGGGUGAGCUGUGGUCGCGUGUGCGGUGGUGAACAGAUGUGGUGAUGGCGGGAGGCGUUUGUUGAAACCUGAACUCAUCUUACUGCGAGAACUGGUGUGUUGCGUGUGCCGCUUUGGUUUCUUCUCUCAUUGGAAUCUCAGAUGUACAUUGAUGCGGAGCGGCGGUGCUCUCCGCUGCCUCUUCUCCUUUGUUGUCGCUUCUACGGUGUCUGCUUUUUUUUUUGUUCCCCGAGAGCUCCUUGAUGGCCAUGGAUAGCUGCGCGUGACUUCUCCGGGUGCUGCGCCCCACUCGCCGGGGGACUAGGGGGGACGCCCUUCCCCUAACAUCUGUCCCGGCCCAAUGCCGAAGCACUUGUGGAGGCGACAGGGUCAAGCACCCACAGCCGAUGGGGUGGGCGGGUGAGGGCGAUUUUUCAGUACCGAUGCUCGCAAUGAGGUUGUGGAUAGCGUUGCAUGGGAGCGACCUGCAGGAGGAAUCAUGUUUCUUGUUUGCAAAUGAUCGGUGAGGUGCCGUUGUGUCUUAAAGGCAUCGCCCACCCAGCCAUCGCAUUGCCUACUUGUGUGCUGAGCCUGCACCUCUCCGAGAGGUGCCCCAGGUGGCGACCGGCAGAGGGGGAGCUGCGGAGAGAGGACGUUCGAGGAAGGCAGGCGGAUUUCGAGGCAGAGGUCUUGGGCAUAUGACAGAGUCAGCAGUACUGCGGCGCGUGUCUACGGCUACUGCUCGCCACGUGAGAGGCCCGUGAUGGGGCGGAUUACGUUGGACACGGACUCAUGCAGUAUGUCAGAAUGGACACGCCGAAGGAAGGAACGAGAGCACUGCAGCCUGUUGGACUGUUUCGCACGUAGCGUCGUGCGGUGCGAAAUCGUAUCUGUUCCGACGCUGUGGAAGGAGGAGCAUUCUGUUUUUAUUUUGCCUGCUUUUAUUAUUGCUUCAUUUCUUCCGUCGCCUCUCAUAUAAGGCUCGCGCUCACGUGUGCUGACAGCACUCUCCCGUGAGUACUGCACGCCCUUACCGAAGCAUCUGCCCAACCGCCCUGUCGCUCCACCCACCCCGAAAAAAAAAAGAAUAUGUCUUCUCUGUACAAGGUCACUUCUGUUCUUUUCUUCUUUCUACACACUACUGCCGCGACGAUUGGCUGAUGUGAGAAGAGCUGAUAGAAAAGGCAUGCACCAGCCGACAUCGUCGUAGUCAUUGGCGUUUUGGAUGAGUCUGUGCAGCGACGGGGUGUGCGCGACACAAGAGCACCUUG
RNAcentral lists this unclassified non-coding RNA (6017 nucleotides) under Leishmania donovani. RNAcentral's name for it is "gene:LdHU3.35.3820(CDS-product:hypothetical_prote in_conserved)". The record is from RNAcentral. Lineage: Eukaryota; Euglenozoa; Kinetoplastea; Trypanosomatida; Trypanosomatidae.